This 1551-nucleotide ribosomal RNA is filed under the name Klebsiella pneumoniae. RNAcentral's name for it is "bacterial SSU rRNA". It matches the Rfam family "Bacterial small subunit ribosomal RNA". The record is from RNAcentral. Lineage: Bacteria; Pseudomonadati; Pseudomonadota; Gammaproteobacteria; Enterobacterales; Enterobacteriaceae.
AAAUUGAAGAGUUUGAUCAUGGCUCAGAUUGAACGCUGGCGGCAGGCCUAACACAUGCAAGUCGAGCGGUAGCACAGAGAGCUUGCUCUCGGGUGACGAGCGGCGGACGGGUGAGUAAUGUCUGGGAAACUGCCUGAUGGAGGGGGGAUAACUACUGGAAACGGUAGCUAAUACCGCAUAAUGUCGCAAGACCAAAGUGGGGGACCUUCGGGCCUCAUGCCAUCAGAUGUGCCCAGAUGGGAUUAGCUAGUAGGUGGGGUAACGGCUCACCUAGGCGACGAUCCCUAGCUGGUCUGAGAGGAUGACCAGCCACACUGGAACUGAGACACGGUCCAGACUCCUACGGGAGGCAGCAGUGGGGAAUAUUGCACAAUGGGCGCAAGCCUGAUGCAGCCAUGCCGCGUGUGUGAAGAAGGCCUUCGGGUUGUAAAGCACUUUCAGCGGGGAGGAAGGCGGUGAGGUUAAUAACCUCACCGAUUGACGUUACCCGCAGAAGAAGCACCGGCUAACUCCGUGCCAGCGGCCGCGGUAAUACGGAGGGUGCAAGCGUUAAUCGGAAUUACUGGGCGUAAAGCGCACGCAGGCGGUCUGUCAAGUCGGAUGUGAAAUCCCCGGGCUCAACCUGGGAACUGCAUUCGAAACUGGCAGGCUAGAGUCUUGUAGAGGGGGGUAGAAUUCCAGGUGUAGCGGUGAAAUGCGUAGAGAUCUGGAGGAAUACCGGUGGCGAAGGCGGCCCCCUGGACAAAGACUGACGCUCAGGUGCGAAAGCGUGGGGAGCAAACAGGAUUAGAUACCCUGGUAGUCCACGCCGUAAACGAUGUCGAUUUGGAGGUUGUGCCCUUGAGGCGUGGCUUCCGGAGCUAACGCGUUAAAUCGACCGCCCGGGGAGUACGGCCGCAAGGUUAAAACUCAAAUGAAUUGACGGGGGCCCGCACAAGCGGUGGAGCAUGUGGUUUAAUUCGAUGCAACGCGAAGAACCUUACCUGGUCUUGACAUCCACAGAACUUUCCAGAGAUGGAUUGGUGCCUUCGGGAACUGUGAGACAGGUGCUGCAUGGCUGUCGUCAGCUCGUGUUGUGAAAUGUUGGGUUAAGUCCCGCAACGAGCGCAACCCUUAUCCUUUGUUGCCAGCGGUCCGGCCGGGAACUCAAAGGAGACUGCCAGUGAUAAACUGGAGGAAGGUGGGGAUGACGUCAAGUCAUCAUGGCCCUUACGACCAGGGCUACACACGUGCUACAAUGGCAUAUACAAAGAGAAGCGACCUCGCGAGAGCAAGCGGACCUCAUAAAGUAUGUCGUAGUCCGGAUUGGAGUCUGCAACUCGACUCCAUGAAGUCGGAAUCGCUAGUAAUCGUAGAUCAGAAUGCUACGGUGAAUACGUUCCCGGGCCUUGUACACACCGCCCGUCACACCAUGGGAGUGGGUUGCAAAAGAAGUAGGUAGCUUAACCUUCGGGAGGGCGCUUACCACUUUGUGAUUCAUGACUGGGGUGAAGUCGUAACAAGGUAACCGUAGGGGAACCUGUUGUUGGAUCACCUCCUUACCUUAAAGAA